RNAcentral lists this ribosomal RNA (433 nucleotides) under uncultured bacterium. Its description in RNAcentral is "partial 16S ribosomal RNA". It matches the Rfam family "Bacterial small subunit ribosomal RNA", at positions 29 to 507 of the family's 1533-position model. The record is from RNAcentral.
AACGAACGCUGGCGGCAUGUCUAACACAUGCAAGCCGAACGAGACCUUCGGGCCUAGUGGCGCACGGGUGCGUAACGCGUGGGAACCUGCCUUUAGGUUCGGAAUAACUCAGCGAAAUUUGUGCUAAUACCGGAUGAUGUCUUCGGACCAAAGAGUUAUCCCCUUUAGAUGGGCCCGCGUUGGAUUAGAUAGUUGGUGGGGUAAAGGCCUACCAAGGCGACGAUCCAUAGCUGGUCUGCGAGGGUGAUCAGCCACACUGGGACUGAGACACGGCCCAGACUCCUGCGAGAGGCAGCAGUGGUGAAUGUUGGACAAUGGGCAAAAGCCUGAUCCAGCAAUGCCGCGUGAGUGAUGAAGGCCUUAGGGUUGUAAAGCUCUUUUACCCGAGAUGAUAAUGGGAGUAUCGAUAGAAUAGGCUCAGGCUAGCUCCGUG